ACGGGAGGCAGCAGUGGGGAAUAUUGCACAAUGGGCGCAAGCCUGAUGCAGCAACGCCGCGUGCGGGAAGACGGUCUUCGGAUUGUAAACCGCUGUCCUUGGUGACGAACAAAUGACGGUAGCCGAGGAGGAAGCCACGGCUAACUACGUGCCAGCAGCCGCGGUAAUACGUAGGUGGCAAGCGUUGUCCGGAUUUACUGGGUGUAAAGGGAGCGCAGGCGGGAAAUCAAGUCAGCUGUGAAAACUAUGGGCUUAACUCAUAGACUGCAGUUGAAACUGUUUUUCUUGAGUGAAGUAGAGGUAGGCGGAAUUCCGAGUGUAGCGGUGAAAUGCGUAGAGAUUCGGAGGAACACCGGUGGCGAAGGCGGCCUACUGGGCUUUAACUGACGCUGAGGCUCGAAAGUGUGGGGAGCAAACAGGAUUAGAUACCCUGGUA
Molecule: ribosomal RNA, 436 nt
Filed under: uncultured Oscillospiraceae bacterium
Lineage: Bacteria; Bacillati; Bacillota; Clostridia; Eubacteriales; Oscillospiraceae
Description: bacterial SSU rRNA
Rfam family: Bacterial small subunit ribosomal RNA
Source: RNAcentral